AUGAACGCUGGCGGCGUGCCUAAUACAUGCAAGUCGAGCGAACAGACGAGGAGCUUGCUCCUCUGACGUUAGCGGCGGACGGGUGAGUAACACGUGGAUAACCUACCUAUAAGACUGGGAUAACUUCGGGAAACCGGAGCUAAUACCGGAUAAUAUAUUGAACCGCAUGGUUCAAUAGUGAAAGACGGUUUUGCUGUCACUUAUAGAUGGAUCCGCGCCGCAUUCGCUAGUUGGUAAGGUAACGGCUUACCAAGGCAACGAUGCGUAGCCGACCUGAGAGGGUGAUCGGCCGCACUGGAACUGAGACACGGUCCAGACUCCUACGGGAGGCAGCAGUAGGGAAUCUUCCGCAAUAGACGAAAGCCUGACGGAGCAACGCCGCGUGAGUGAUGAAGGUCUUCGGAUCGUAAAACUCUGUUAUUAGGGAAGAACAAAUGUGUAAGUAACUAUGCACGUCUUGACGGUACCUAAUCAGAAAGCCACGGCUAACUACGUG
Molecule: ribosomal RNA, 496 nt
Filed under: uncultured bacterium
Lineage: Bacteria
Description: partial 16S ribosomal RNA
Rfam family: Bacterial small subunit ribosomal RNA
Source: RNAcentral